Molecule: microRNA precursor, 182 nt
Filed under: Oryza barthii
Lineage: Eukaryota; Viridiplantae; Streptophyta; Magnoliopsida; Poales; Poaceae
Description: MIR812 microRNA precursor family
Rfam family: MIR812 microRNA precursor family
Source: Rfam by way of RNAcentral
UUUGUUUUCGUGUCCAACGUUUGAUCAUUCAUUUUAUAUAAAAUUUUUUUAUGAUUAGUAUUUUUUUUAUUGUUAGAUGAUAAAAUAUAAAUAAUACUUUCUGUAUGACUUAUCUUUUUAACUUUUUUUAAAUAAGAUGAACGGUUAAAUGUUAGAAACAAAAAUUCGGAAUUGAGUUUUUU